This is a non-coding RNA of Podarcis lilfordi (Lilford's wall lizard), 108 nucleotides long. The record is from the annotation of a GenBank genome assembly. Lineage: Eukaryota; Metazoa; Chordata; Lepidosauria; Squamata; Lacertidae.
UUUUAUGGCCACAUGACCCUGAUUUCGUCUGAUCUCAGAAACUAAGCAGGGUCCAGCCUGAAGGGUACUUGGUUGGGAGGCCACUUGGGACUACAGGUUCAGUGGUAC